GAUGAACGCUGACAGAAUGCUUAACACAUGCAAGUCAACUGUGGCGGACGGGUGAGUAACGCGUAAAGAACUUGCCUCACAGAUAGGGACAACAUCUGGAAACGAAUGCUAAUACCUGAUACUGUGAGAGAGGUUUGCGUCCCAUUAGCUAGUGGGAGAGGUAACGGCUCACCAAGGCGAUGAUGGGUAGCCGGCCUGGGAGGGUGAUCGGCCACAAGGGGACUGAGAGACGGCCCUUACUCCUACGGGAGGCAGCAGUAGGGAAUAUUGGAGAAUGGACCAAAGUCUGAGCCAGCAAUUCGGUGUGAACGAUGAAGUUUUCGGAAUGUAAAGUGCUUUCAGUUGGGAAGCGGUACCAACAGAAGAAGUGACGGCUAAAUACGUGCCAGCAGCCGCGGUAAUUC
Molecule: ribosomal RNA, 404 nt
Filed under: uncultured bacterium
Lineage: Bacteria
Description: partial 16S ribosomal RNA
Rfam family: Bacterial small subunit ribosomal RNA
Source: RNAcentral